GGGGAGGUAGUGACAAAAAAUAACGAUACGGGACUCAUCCGAGGCCCCGUAAUCGGAAUGAGAACACCCUAAAUCCUAUAACGAGGAUCCAUUGGAGGGAAAGUCUGGUGCCAGCAGCCGCGGUAAUUCCAGCUCCAAUAGCGUAUAUUAAAGUUGUUGCGGUUAAAAAGCUCGUAGUUGGUUCUGCGUGCCACGCUGUCGGUUCACCGCCUGCCGGUGCAACUGGCAUGCCGUGGCAUGUCCUGUCGGUGGCUGAUAGGCUUCACGUCGUACACCAUGCAGUUCAUGCUGUGUGGGUUAGUGCGCCGUGUUGUCCUUGUAAGCCGGCUCAAUCCUACCGCGGUGCUCUUUACCGAGUGUCGAGGUAGGCCGACACUGUUUACUUUGAACAAAUUAGAGUGCUUAAAGCAGGCUCUUAAAUCAGCCUGAAUAGUGGUGCAUGGAAUAAUGGAACAGGACCUUGGUUCUAUUUUGUUGGUUUUAGGAAUCCAAGGUAAUGAUCAAUAAGGACAGGCGGGGGCAUUCGUAUUGCGACGUUAGAGGUGAAAUUCUUGGAUCGUCGCAAGACGCACUAGAGCGAAAGCAUUUGCCAAGUAUGUCCUAAUUGAUCAAGAACGAAAGUUAGAGGUCCGAAGGCGAUCAGAUACCGCCCUAGUUCUAACA
This 663-nucleotide ribosomal RNA is filed under the name Physopelta cincticollis. Its description in RNAcentral is "SSU rRNA". It matches the Rfam family "Eukaryotic small subunit ribosomal RNA", at positions 458 to 1031 of the family's 1831-position model. Lineage: Eukaryota; Metazoa; Arthropoda; Insecta; Hemiptera; Largidae. The record is from RNAcentral.